GUGUCAGCUGGACACAGAAGUUGGUAAAAACCUACCGGGGAGCACUUGCAGAUCCUGGAUGCAGGACCAUGAGCACUCACUUCAUUUUGCUGGGCCCUGGUUUCUACAGAGGACAGAAGAUCAACAAGGAUUCUUUCUGGCCAGGUGCUAGUGGCUCACAUCUGUAAUCCUAGUCGCUCAGGAGGCUGAGAUCUGAGGCUCACAAUUCAAAGCCAGCCCAGGCAGGAAAGUCCAUGAG
Long non-coding RNA from Perognathus longimembris pacificus (Pacific pocket mouse), 238 nucleotides. RefSeq lists it as uncharacterized. The transcript is spliced from 3 exons. NCBI's taxonomy places the organism in Eukaryota, Metazoa, Chordata, Mammalia, Rodentia, Heteromyidae. The record is from RefSeq and is a predicted model, not a curated record.